This 497-nucleotide ribosomal RNA is filed under the name uncultured bacterium. Its description in RNAcentral is "partial 16S ribosomal RNA". It matches the Rfam family "Bacterial small subunit ribosomal RNA", at positions 28 to 507 of the family's 1533-position model. The record is from RNAcentral.
GAUGAACGCUGGCGGCGUGCCUAAUACAUGCAAGUCGAGCGAACGGACGAGAAGCUUGCUUCUCUGAUGUUAGCGGCGGACGGGUGAGUAACACGUGGAUAACCUACCUAUAAGACUGGGAUAACUUCGUGAAACCGGAGCUAAUACCGGAUAAUAUUUUGAACCGCAUGGUUCAAAAGUGAAAGACGGUCUUGCUGUCACUUAUAGAUGGAUCCGCGCUGCAUUAGCUAGUUGGUAAGGUAACGGCUUACCAAGGCAACGAUGCAUAGCCGACCUGAGAGGGUGAUCGGCCACACUGGAACUGAGACACGGUCCAGACUCCUACGGGAGGCAGCAGUAGGGAAUCUUCCGCAAUGGGCGAAAGCCUGACGGAGCAACGCCGCGUGAGUGCUGAAGGUCUUCGGAUCGUAAAACUCUGUUAUUAGGGAAGAACAUAUGUGUAAGUAACUGUGAACAUCUUGACGGUACCUAAUCAGAAAGCCACGGCUAACUACGUG